This 1716-nucleotide long non-coding RNA is filed under the name Gallus gallus (chicken). RNAcentral's name for it is "long non-coding RNA NONGGAT004022". The record is from RNAcentral. Lineage: Eukaryota; Metazoa; Chordata; Aves; Galliformes; Phasianidae.
AAGGAAGCAGGUCUGGAGGAGUUAAUGCUCUUGUGCUGGCUCUCAGUUUUUCAGAUGAUUUGAGUCCCUAGUUCCACAGAAAUGGCUGGGAAAGGAAUUAAUGCAUAAACUGAAAUGAUGAGGAGCUUGCAGUUAUAGGGCUGCUUACAAAGAUGUGGUGAUGGAAAAUCUGAAACAGUUGACCCAAUCUGACCCAUUUCAGAAAAAAAAUAGUGGUAGAAGACAGUUUGCUUUGUUCUCAUGUAUCCUCGGACUGUAUUCUGGUGUUCUUCCCGUUAUAUCAGGAUAUUGUCUUCUUACUAGUGAUGCAGGAUAUCACAUAUCAGUAGUGGGGGGGGGUCUGAUGGAGGCUGAAGUGUGCACAUGGAAUUGAUUAGGGGGUUAGCUUCCUCUCAGUGGCAAGUCAUGUGGGUAUUUCAAUGUCUGAACCUGGGUGUGGAGCAGAGGAAGCUGUGGAGACAGCUAUAUCUUAAUUACCUCUGGAAAGUUUACUGAAAUGCCCAUAGAAUUGCUCAUCUGUCUGAACAGAAUGGGAGUUAGUGCCAUCAAAGCUGCUGGGAGCACAAGAAGUAAGUAUCAGAGAGCUGAGAUCAAACAGAUAUCCUGAGGUGUGAUGGGGACCAUGUAAUAAAUAGGAAGAUUAAAGAAAACACAGAAUAUCCAAGUGACCCCUCAAAAUCCCUCUUUAUAGUCAUGUUUUGACAGCAGCUAAAACAUGAUGUCAGCCUUUGAUUACCUGGCUUGGGGGUAAGCUAACUUUCCCUCCAACCUGCAGUGACAUCCUGCUAAGGAUGCAGAGGCUAGCCCUGUACCCUGCCCUGCCUGCUGUGCAUGCUGCUGGACCAUCUGUCAGUGGAGCUCUCAGACCCUAUUCUUGAAGAAACAGCAGAUUGUGAUCAUCAAGGGUAGUGACAAAAAGAAAACAAGAAGUUGGGAAAUAGAGAUGACCAUGUCCAUAUUCGUAAAUUAUGACGUGAACGUUCCCCUGGAUGAGACCAUCUGCGCUAUUCAUUUAUAUGAGAACUAGCAAUAGCCAAGAAUUGCUCCUGGUCAUUAGUUUGGGUGCAGCCACAGUAGUCUUGAGACUGAGAGUUUAUCUUCAUUGUGGAUACAAGUUAUUCUGUGACAAUUGGUUUAUGUUGAGAUGGUCCUGAAAAUGCUGAAUUAAGGCGGAGGUACCUCUACCAUGGAAAAUCAUGUGUCACCAUGUGGGUAAAAAGGAAGGCUGAUUUCUUCCAUACUACUUAGCCCAAAUUAGGACUGCUAGAUGCAGCUGUUUAGGAGAAUCAUGGUGUUGCAACUUGUUAUCACUUCUAUCUGCUUUGGAUGCAGACAGCGGGAGAUGGCUGAAUCUGAUGAAACCCCCAUGAGCUGCACCCUUGAUGCAAUGCACAUUCCUUGCUCAUUGACUCACAGCUAUCAACUUUCCUUUACUCCCUCUUUGCCAUGUGUUUUGUAGCACUCUAAACACCUGAGGAGACAAUGUUUUGAGCAGACACUUGCUGUAUUUGCGCACAGUACUGCAUGUCUUCUCUCUGUCACUCUGGACAUACAUGGCUCAUGCAACAGAUCAGAAAUUAGGUAAGCAAAGAUAUAAAGUUAUUCUGCUUGUGCAGAAUGGAUAAUGAGAGUAAUGCAAUUAACAGUAUUAAUGUUAAUAACUAGAUAUCUGCUAUUAGCAGUCUCCCACCUUGAUCAUUUAUUAAACAGUGACAC